This 247-nucleotide long non-coding RNA is filed under the name Elaeis guineensis (African oil palm). RNAcentral describes it as "long non-coding RNA (EGUI_LNC038152)". Lineage: Eukaryota; Viridiplantae; Streptophyta; Magnoliopsida; Arecales; Arecaceae. The record is from RNAcentral.
GCGUGGGGAGGUUCUGGAAAAAUUUUGAAGUGUUCAAAAUUUACCGAGAGGAGAGAAAAAGGAGAGAGAAGUGGGCGCAGGGUUUUUGGUGUGUACCCUAGGGUUUCUAUCUAGGGUUCGGGAAGUGAGAUUGGUGUGCCACGAGUGUCGUGAGUCCACCAAAUUUUAGGGAGAGAUCCAUCAGCCUCUCAACCAACCGUGCAGAUGAUUCGGAGCAUUCGAGGAGUCGGCACACAUCGAUCGAAGG